Molecule: ribosomal RNA, 393 nt
Filed under: uncultured bacterium
Lineage: Bacteria
Description: partial 16S ribosomal RNA
Rfam family: Bacterial small subunit ribosomal RNA
Source: RNAcentral
AUACGGAGGACGCGAGCGUUAUCCGGAUUCAUUGGGUUUAAAGGGUGCGCAGGCGGCCGUGCAAGUCAGCGGUGAAAGCCCGGGGCUCAACCCCGGAAGUGCCGUUGAUACUGCAUGGCUGGAAUGCGGUCGAGGCGGGCGGGGCGUGGGGUGUAGCGGGGAAAUGCGUAGAUAUGCCACAGAACGCCGAUGGCGGAGGCAGCUCGCCAGGCCUGCAUUGACGCUCGGGCACGAAAGCGUGGGGAUCGAACAGGAUUAGAUACCCUGGUAGUCCACGCCGUAAACGAUGGGCGCUCGUCGUCGGCGGCAGACAGUCGGCGGCCAAGCGAAAGCGAUAAGCGCCCCACCUGGGGAGUACGGUCGCAAGGCUGAAACUCAAAUGAAUUGACGGGG